RNAcentral lists this ribosomal RNA (1922 nucleotides) under Vreelandella sedimenti. RNAcentral's name for it is "partial 23S ribosomal RNA". It matches the Rfam family "Bacterial large subunit ribosomal RNA", at positions 1 to 1953 of the family's 2925-position model. The record is from RNAcentral. Lineage: Bacteria; Pseudomonadati; Pseudomonadota; Gammaproteobacteria; Oceanospirillales; Halomonadaceae.
GUUAUAGGGUCAAGCAAUGAAGCGCACACGGUGGAUGCCUAGGCAGCCAGAGGCGAUGAAAGACGUGGUAGCCUGCGAUAAGGCUCGGUGAGGUGGCAACAACCUGUGACCCGGGCAUUUCUGAAUGGGGAAACCCACCGAUCAUAAGAUCGGUAUCGUGCACUGAAUACAUAGGUGUACGAGGCGAACCAGGGGAACUGAAACAUCUAAGUACCCUGAGGAAAAGAAAUCAACCGAGAUUCCCCUAGUAGCGGCGAGCGAACGGGGACCAGCCCUUAAGCAUGAGACUGAUUAGGCGAACACGCUGGGAAGCGUGGCCGUAGCGGGUGAUAGCCCCGUAGUCGAAAAUCUGAUCAUGUGAAAUCGAGUAGGUCGGGGCACGAGAAACCUUGACUGAAGACGGGGGGACCAUCCUCCAAGGCUAAAUACUCCUGGCUGACCGAUAGUGAACCAGUACCGUGAGGGAAAGGCGAAAAGAACCCCGGAGAGGGGAGUGAAAUAGAUCCUGAAACCGUGUGCGUACAAGCAGUAGGAGCAGACUUGUUCUGUGACUGCGUACCUUUUGUAUAAUGGGUCAGCGACUUAUAUUCAGUGGCGAGGUUAACCGUAUAGGGGAGCCGUAGGGAAACCGAGUCUUAACUGGGCGACACAGUCGCUGGAUAUAGACCCGAAACCGAGCGAUCUAUCCAUGAGCAGGGUGAAGGUUGAGUAACAUCAACUGGAGGCCCGAACCAGGAUCUGUUGAAAAAGAUUUGGAUGACUUGUGGAUCGGAGUGAAAGGCUAAUCAAGCUCGGAGAUAGCUGGUUCUCCUCGAAAGCUAUUUAGGUAGCGCCUCACGUAGUACCGCCGGGGGUAGAGCACUGUUUCGGCUAGGGGGUCAUCCCGACUUACCAACCCGAGGCAAACUCCGAAUACCGGUGAGUAGCGCGUGGGAGACACACGGCGGGUGCUAACGUCCGUCGUGAAAAGGGAAACAACCCAGACCGUCAGCUAAGGUCCCGAAAUCCUGGUUAAGUGGGAAACGAUGUGGGAAGGCUCAGACAGCUAGGAGGUUGGCUUAGAAGCAGCCAUCCUUUAAAGAAAGCGUAAUAGCUCACUAGUCGAGUCGGCCUGCGCGGAAGAUGUAACGGGGCUAAACCAGGUACCGAAGCUACGGGUUCAUUCUUAGGAAUGAGCGGUAGAGGAGCGUCGUGUACGCCAAUGAAGGUGGAUUGAGAAGUCUGCUGGAGGUAUCACGAGUGCGAAUGCUGACAUGAGUAACGAUAAAGGGCGUGAAAAACGCCCUCGCCGGAAGACCAAGGGUUUCUGUUCGACGCUAAUCGGAGCAGAGUGAGUCGGCCCCUAAGGCGAGGCCGAAAGGCGUAGUCGAUGGGAAACGGGUCAAUAUUCCCGUACCGGACAUGGUUGCGAUGGGGGGACGAAGAAGGCUAGGUGAGCCAGGCGUUGGUAGUCCUGGUGAAAGUGAGUAGGCUGAGGGUUUAGGUAAAUCCGGACCCUUUUCAGGCCGAGACACGAAACGAACUGACCACGGUCAGGAAGUCACUGAUGCCACGCUUCCAGGAAAAGCCUCUAAGCUUCAGAUCAUGUGCGACCGUACCCCAAACCGACACAGGUGGUCAGGGUGAGAAUCCCAAGGCGCUUGAGAGAACUCGGGUGAAGGAACUAGGCAAAAUGGUGCCGUAACUUCGGGAGAAGGCACGCCGGCGUAGGGUGAAGAGACUUGCUCUCCUAGCCCGAACCGGUCGAAGAUACCAGGUGGCUGCAACUGUUUAUUAAAAACACAGCACUCUGCUAACGCGCAAGCGGACGUAUAGGGUGUGACGCCUGCCCGGUGCCGGAAGGUUAAAUGAUGGUGUUAGCCGCAAGGCGAAGCUCUUGAUUGAAGCCCCGGUAAACGGCGGCCGUAACUAUAACGGUCCUA